This is a non-coding RNA of Microcebus murinus (gray mouse lemur), 3440 nucleotides long. The record is from RefSeq and is a predicted model, not a curated record. Lineage: Eukaryota; Metazoa; Chordata; Mammalia; Primates; Cheirogaleidae.
AAAGCGCCGUCGGCGAGCCCACGUGGGUGUGUGUGUUGACGGAACAACUUCCUGGUGAGAAACGCGACUGUCGAAGGUGGGCAGACUCGACGUUUUCGCCAUGGGCAAACGCCGGAGCCGGACCCAGAGCCAGCUGCUCAACAGCCUAACUAAAAAGCAGAAGAAGCAUCUCCGGGAUUUCGGCGAGGAGCAUCCCUUCUAUGACAGGGUUUCCAGAAAGGAAGGAAAGCCACAGAUUUGUCAACUGUCAGAGAGUUCAGAUACUUCAAAUUCUGAAAGCGAAGCAGAAAGUGAACCAGAACAAGUUUCUGGGUACCACAAACUACUUGCUACAUUAAAGACUGUUUCUGAGGAAGAAAAGGAAGAUGAGGAGGAGGAGGAAGAGGAAGAAGAAGACAGUGUUGUAGGUGAUACAGAAAUGAAUGAUGAAGAUGAUGAUAGUGAUGUCAGUGUGGAAGAAGAGAAGGCAGCGGAGUCUACUGAAAUGCAAGAAAAUGUGGCCUUAUCUGCUGACCCUGAGGGAAAAGAUGGGGAAGGGCCACCUGGCACAUCACAAGAAUCCCCCGAGGAGUUCACAGAUGCCAAACAUGAGUUACUGUUCAGCCUGGAAACCAAUUUUCUCGAAGAGGAAAGUGGAAACGACUCUUCUUUGAAAGCAUCACAAGAUCCAUUUCUACAACAUGUGAACAAAGAACUGAAAGAAAAAGACAUUCAGGCUUUUGCCACAAAUCCCAAAACUACCCACCAGCUAAAAUGGCCUGUUCUAGGCCAGCUUGUCUUUUCAUCCAAGUUUCAGAAGUUGGAAACAUUUAAACCCCCAAAGGAUAUUGACUUCGAGUCACUUCAUCUCCAGAAGCCUCUGGGAUCUACCUGGACCAAGACCAACAGCCAGUUCCUGUCUGGUCCCCAAAAAUCAAGUAGCCCCUUCACCCCUCUCCAGAAAGAACUCUUCUUAAUUAUGAAUUCUUACCAGGACCUGUUCUACCCAGAAAGGAAUGCCCUAAAGAAUGGGGAAGAGAUCCGCCACGUGUACUGCCUGCAUGUGAUAAACCAUGUCCUUAAAGCCAACGCCCAGGUGCUUGGCAACAAUAGCAGACGCCGAAGCCAGAAAUUUGGAGUGGGUAACGAUGAUGACUUCAGGGACCAAGGGCUAACCAGGCCCAAGGUACUGAUAGUGGUGCCAUUUCGGGAAGCUGCUUUGCGGGUGGUGCAACUCUUCAUCAGCCUCCUUGAGGGCGACAGCAAGAAGAAAAUCAUUGUGAGCAACAAAAAGAGGUUUCAAGGAGAGUAUGGCUCUGAUCCCGAGGAGAGACCACCCAACUUGAAGAGGCCUGAGGAUUAUGAAGCUGUGUUUGCAGGCAACAUUGAUGACCACUUCAGGAUUGGAGUGGCAAUACUUCAGAGGAGCAUCCGACUCUACGCCCCCUUUUACUCCUCGGAUAUCCUCAUUGCUUCCCCUCUGGGCUUGAGGACCAUCAUUGGUGGAGAAGGAGAGAAGAAGAGGGAUUUUGACUUUUUGUCUUCUAUUGAGCUUCUCGUCAUUGAUCAAGCUGACAUUUACCUGAUGCAGAACUGGGAGCAUGUCCUGCAUUUGAUGAACCACAUGAACCUCCUACCCCUGGACUCACAUGGGGUAGACUUUUCUCGAGUGCGGAUGUGGAGCCUCAAUAAUUGGUCCAAGUACUAUCGGCAGACAUUGCUGUUUGGGGCCCUGCAGGAUGCCCAGGUCAACUCAGUGUUCAACAAGUACUGCACCAAUCUGCAAGGCCAGGUGGCCGUGAAGAAUGUUCCAAUGACAGGCUCCAUCAAUCAUGUCCUGGUGCAGCUCCCACAUGUCUUCCAGAGAAUGGAAGUCGACAGCCUAGCUUCAGUGAUCGAUGCCAGGUUUAACUUUUUUGUGAAUAAGAUUCUGCCUCAGUACCGCGAUGCAGUCAUGUCUCACACGCUCAUCUACAUCCCCUCCUACUUUGAUUUCGUGCGUCUCCGAAAUUUCUUUAAGAAGGAGGAACUGAACUUCACCCACAUCUGCGAGUAUACCCAGAAGUCUGGCGUCUCCAGGGCCAGACACUUUUUCCUUCAAGGAGAGAAGCAGUUUCUGCUCCUCACAGAGCGGUUCCAUUUCUACAAAAGAUAUACAAUAAAAGGCAUCAGGAACCUGAUUUUCUAUGAACUGCCAACAUAUCCGCACUUCUACAGUGAAAUCUGUAAUAUGCUGAGAGCUACCGACAGAGGAGAAGAAGCCACGUGGACCUGCACCGCCCUCUACUCCAAGUACGAUGCCCAGAGGUUAGCUGCCGUGGUUGGCGUGGAGCGAGCAGCACAGAUGCUACAGUCUAAGAAGAAUGUUCACCUCUUUAUUACUGGAGAAAACUGAGAUUCUGUUAGACAGGAAAUAGCGUUUGGCAUGAUACAUAGUGCUUGGUUCUCUGCCACUUGGCCCCAAUUCUGAUUAUUUAUACAGGAGAGGGAUUGAUACCAGUAUUGGAGUGAUACAAGAGCACUAGCCAAUGUCAGUAUAUUAUCUGAUACUUCUUUCUUUUCAGGUCAUUUGUCCCUGAAAAGUUACAUGUAAACCACAUUUUGGUGAGUCAUAUCUUUCAGAGGUGAAGAGGGGGUUAGAAGGACUCUGAGAAGAUGAUAGAAGGCAACUUCCACUUGUAAACCUUUUUGGACAUCCCAGAAGUGAUACAUGAGUCCUCCCUCCAUGUCCUCCAUGUGUCAGGUGGCACAAGACAUCCAUUUGUCCGUCGCUGAUGACGCUAACUUUGACCGCUUGUUUAAGGUGAUGUUUGCAAGACUUUUCUACUAUAGAGCGACUGUUUUACGCUUCAUGUAUUAAUUUAUACAGAUUGAACCUCUCUAAUCCAAAAAUUUGAAAUACAAGGUGCUCUAAAAUUCAAAACUAUUUGAGCAGCAACCUGAGCUCAAAGGAAAUGCUCAUUGGACCGUUUUGGAUUGCAUUGCAAAAUAAUGCAGAUAUUUCAAAAUUAAAAAAAAAAAAUCCAAAAUCGGAAACACUUCUGGUCCCAAACAUUUCAGCUAAGAGAUAUUCAACCUGUAUGAGUAUGGACUUGUAUUUUCCUGUGUUCAGCGAGUGCCAUUCCAUUACUGUCAUUAUUUCUUCAGGGGUGUAGCUGGUCUCUGAGACGCCCAGUGGGAGCACCGUCAAGCUGGCUUCUGUGUCCUUUUGACAGGUUCCCUUUCUACUUGGGCAUUGCUGUAUUUUUUGACAAUAGAAUUUUCAGGCUUCUCUACUCCAACCCUGCUUUCUUUUAGUGGAAAAUUAUUUUAAAAGCUAAGAUUUGAGUGCUAGAUGUGCCCACAUCUAUAGAUGUGCCCUGUGGGUAUUGGCAUAUUUAUGCUGCUGUCUACCAUAGAUCCUAUGUAUUAUAAAAAAAGAAAUGAGUUCAUGUGCUUAGUUCAGAAAUAUGAGGCAAAGG